UUUAUUCAGUUCUAUAAAGGUCUUGCUCAUAACUGAAUCUGCGCAACUUCCAGCAAAGCAAAGUAUAAACUUCCUGCAGUUGGUCUGUGUGAUAAGAAUUAAAGAUGAACAUUAUACAUUUUACCUUUGUUGUAACCCCAAUUUCCCAGUGACUCAGUCAGACAUGCUCUCCAAUGGUUUGAGGACUUUACCUCUCGGUAGGACAGACGUACAAGAAGGAUGGGAACCUUUGGUAGAGGUGGGACAUCACUGGAGACCUUCAAUCAGAAAGGGAAUUCUAUGACAGAGCAGCAUAAUGGCUACUGUGGGGCUGUCACUGGCAAACGCACACUGGGAGAGAAUAUUGAUGCCAGUUUUAAAGAUGGCAGAAGGGGCUCCCUCAGCAGCUGAUGCAACAUUCAAGGGCACGUAAUUAUCUUCUGUGUUAGCUUCAUAUCCAUAGAGGCUCAUGGGAGGUUUCAAUAGGGCUCACUCAUUGAGACUUCUUACAUUGGCUAUUAGAAUUAAUAUUCCUUAUCAAAGAUUCAUGAGCUGAAGCCCACAUCUCCUUACUGAGGUCCCACUUAUCUAAGAAGCAUGUAAACAUGUGCUGAACUUGCAGCCAAUCACUAUCAGGAUAUAAACAUAAAACGUGAUUGGCUGUAAACUCCCUUUUUUAUUUCUGGGAUCAGAGGUGAGCUGAGCAUUGAUACACAGGGGCAUUAAGGGAAAUAAUGGCAGAAAUGAAGGAAAUCAUUAUUUGAGUGUGACACUGGCUAGUGCCUGGGAUAUGAGCCUGAACAUCAUGCUCACAGAGACAGCCAAAGUGAAGAUCAGUGAGUAAAACUUACAGUUAUAAGUAAGUAGAGUAAUGGAUGGUGGGGAACUUCUGUGAAUAUGGAGUCAGGGGAGUUCAUAAUUCAGGUUUCUAUCUUAUUGUGGUUAAACAAGUUAUUUUCCAUUAAUAGAUUCUAUCUGUCAUUUCAGUCGACUUUGGAAACAGCUGGGACCUGGACCCGCAAACUGGAUUGUGCAACGAAGCAGAAGGGAUUCCACAUUGGAUGGCACCCGAGGCCAUAAGGCAGAAGGGCCAGCGCCUGGCGUACGACACCAAAUGUGACAUCUGGUCGCUGGGGAUAAUCGCCAUCGAAAUGGCCGAGGGAAAACCACCAUAUGCAGAUCAAUACCCGUUGGAGCACCUGAUAAGAGAAGCCCAACCACCGAAGCUUCAAUCAAACAGAUGGUGAGUCGGUCCCAGCUCGUGUCACUGUACUUUGUACCUGUGCUUGCAGACAUGGAACUCCCCACAUUUUCUUAUUAACACUUGGGACAUUUGGCAACUCCUAUAUCCACUUAGCCGCUUCCACAGUCUGCCCUCACGAUGCCGCUUGUCCGUACAAAUUUAGGAUAAUGGGGAGAUUUCAGUCUCAGCUCAGGGGAUGUGUAUUUUGUUUAAAUACCUCCUAAAUAUAAAUAGAGGUUUUUCUACUGCAGUAUUUAAAUGUGGCCCAUGAGAUGGAGGCAGGGAUAUGUGUUUUUUCAGGGAAAUAUAGGUGAAUGCAGAGCAGAUAUGAUAUAUUUUAUGUAUAUAAUCAGUGUCUAUGUCUCAGGGGCAUAACAGUAUAACUAUGGGCCCCACUACUGUGAGAUUACAGGCCAUGUGCACUAUGGUGCAGUCAGGAGAGGGUGUGGGAAAAUCACAGGACUUUACCUUGUCCCUCAUAGCCUUAUAGACAUCUAGAUUUGCCACUGAUAUCCUUUGUUAUACCCUUGUUGACCAAUUUGGGAUAGUGGUGGGGAAUCUUGGGUUG
Molecule: long non-coding RNA, 1790 nt
Organism: Xenopus laevis (African clawed frog)
Lineage: Eukaryota; Metazoa; Chordata; Amphibia; Anura; Pipidae
Exons: 3
Source: RefSeq, a predicted model, not a curated record